UAGAAUUCCACGUGUAGCGGUGAAAUGCGUAGAGAUGUGGAGGAAUACCGGUGGCGAAGGCGGCCUUCUGGACAGAUACUGACGCUGAGAUGCGAAAGCGUGGGGAGCAAACAGGAUUAGAUACCCUGGUAGUCCACGCUGUAAACGAUGUCGAUUUGGAGUUUGUUGCCUAGAGUGAUGGGCUCCGAAGCUAACGCGAUAAAUCGACCGCCUGGGGAGUACGGCCGCAAGGUUAAAACUCAAAUGAAUUGACGGGGGCCCGCACAAGCGGUGGAGCAUGUGGUUUAAUUCGAUGCAACGCGAAGAACCUUACCUGGUCUUGACAUCCACAGAAUCUUGCAGAGAUGCGAGAGUGCCUUCGGGAACUGUGAGACAGGUGCUGCAUGGCUGUCGUCAGCUCGUGUUGUGAAAUGUUGGGUUAAGUCCCGCAACGAGCGCAACCCUUAUCCUUUGUUGCCACGGUAGGCCGGGAACUCAAAGGAGACUGCCGUUGAUAAAGCGGAGGAAGGUGGGGACGACGUCAAGUCAUCAUGGCCCUUACGACCAGGGCUACACACGUGCUACAAUGGCGUAUACAAAGGGAGGCGACCUCGCGAGAGCAAGCGGACCUCAUAAAGUACGUCUAAGUCCGGAUUGAGUCCCCAACUCGACUCCAUGAAGUCGGAAUCGCUAGUAAUCGUGAAUCAGAAUGU
RNAcentral lists this ribosomal RNA (692 nucleotides) under uncultured Gilliamella sp. RNAcentral's name for it is "bacterial SSU rRNA". It matches the Rfam family "Bacterial small subunit ribosomal RNA", at positions 662 to 1357 of the family's 1533-position model. Lineage: Bacteria; Pseudomonadati; Pseudomonadota; Gammaproteobacteria; Orbales; Orbaceae. The record is from RNAcentral.